CGGUCGUCGGAGAGAGUAA
RNAcentral lists this small nuclear RNA (19 nucleotides) under Arabidopsis thaliana (thale cress). RNAcentral describes it as "snRNA_05270". Lineage: Eukaryota; Viridiplantae; Streptophyta; Magnoliopsida; Brassicales; Brassicaceae. The record is from RNAcentral.